RNAcentral lists this transfer RNA (64 nucleotides) under Pseudocleopatra dartevellei. RNAcentral describes it as "tRNA-Pro". The record is from RNAcentral. Lineage: Eukaryota; Metazoa; Mollusca; Gastropoda; Paludomidae.
CAGAACAUAGUUUAUCAAAAUAUUAGCAUUGGAAGCUAGAGAUCGGUUUUACGCCGUGUUUUGA